RNAcentral lists this ribosomal RNA (476 nucleotides) under uncultured organism. RNAcentral's name for it is "partial 16S ribosomal RNA". It matches the Rfam family "Bacterial small subunit ribosomal RNA", at positions 331 to 799 of the family's 1533-position model. The record is from RNAcentral.
GUACACUCCUGCGGGAGGCAGCAGUAGGGAAUCUUCCACAAUGGGUGCAAACCUGAUGGAGCAAUGCCGCGUGAGUGAAGAAGGUCUUCGGAUCGUAAAGCUCUGUUGUUAGAGAAGAACACGUGCUAGGUAACUACUAGCGCCUUGACGGUAUCUAACCAGAAAGUCACGGCUAACUACGUGCCAGCAGCCGCGGUAAUACGUAGGUGACAAGCGUUGUCCGGAUUUAUUGGGCGUAAAGGGAGCGCAGGCGGUCUGUUUAGUCUAAUGUGAAAGCCCACGGCUUAACCGUGGAACGGCAUUGGAAACUGACAGACUUGAAUGUAGAAGAGGAAAAUGGAAUUCCAAGUGUAGCGGUGGAAUGCGUAGAUAUUUGGAGGAACACCAGUGGCGAAGGCGAUUUUCUGGUCUAACAUUGACGCUGAGGCUCGAAAGCGUGGGGAGCGAACAGGAUUAGAAACCCCGGUAGUCCCAUG